CCGCCAUUAGCUCAUCGGGAUAGAGCGCCAGCCUUCGGAGCUGGCGGCGCGGGGUUCGAGUCCUCGAUGGCGGUCCA
This 77-nucleotide transfer RNA is filed under the name Escherichia coli. Its description in RNAcentral is "tRNA-Arg". It matches the Rfam family "tRNA". From Rfam's summary of the family: Transfer RNA (tRNA) molecules are approximately 80 nucleotides in length. Their secondary structure includes four short double-helical elements and three loops (D, anti-codon, and T loops). Further hydrogen bonds mediate the characteristic L-shaped molecular structure. tRNAs have two regions of fundamental functional importance: the anti-codon, which is responsible for specific mRNA codon recognition, and the 3' end, to which the tRNAs corresponding amino acid is attached (by aminoacyl-tRNA synthetases). tRNAs cope with the degeneracy of the genetic code in two manners: having more than one tRNA (with a specific anti-codon) for a particular amino acid; and 'wobble' base-pairing, i.e. permitting non-standard base-pairing at the 3rd anti-codon position. The record is from RNAcentral. Lineage: Bacteria; Pseudomonadati; Pseudomonadota; Gammaproteobacteria; Enterobacterales; Enterobacteriaceae.